GUCUGGGUCCAGAACAGGCAAGGAUGGGACAUCGGUUUCGCCCUCUGUGCUCUCUGCGUCCUGCUCGGGAUGCUCAUCUGGAUUGCCGGGUUCCCAUUCUACCGCAAUCAGCUCCCUGGUGGAAGUGCCAUCACCAGAAUGCUUCAGGUAUGUAUGCUUGUUUAUCAAGCCAGACUAGAAAUUUUGCGAAGAAUUGAGUAAGUUGUUUUCAACAGGUUCUCGUGGUGGCAUUCAAGAAAAGGAAUGUUGAGUUACCCAAGGACACAAGUGAACUGAAACAGAUGAACCAAGAUGACAGCAAUAAUGGGCUUGAAAAGCUGGAAAGAACAGUGGGCUUUCAGUAAGUAGAAAAAUCUAAGAAUUCUACAGCCCCACUAAAAUUGGAGUACCUUAAUUUCUGCUCUGUGAAUUUCCUUUCAGGUGCCUUGAGAAAUCUGCCAUAGACACUGGAGAGACGGGGCCAUGGUCGCUGUGCACGGUGACCCAGGUGGAGGAGACCA
This 500-nucleotide long non-coding RNA is filed under the name Brachypodium distachyon (stiff brome). RNAcentral describes it as "long non-coding RNA (BDIS_LNC004783)". The record is from RNAcentral. Lineage: Eukaryota; Viridiplantae; Streptophyta; Magnoliopsida; Poales; Poaceae.